GAGUUUGAUCUUGGCUCAGAACGAACGCUGGCGGCAGGCUUAACACAUGCAAGUCGAACGCACCCUUCGGGGUGAGUGGCAGACGGGUGAGUAACACGUGGGAACGUGCCCUUCAGUUCGGAAUAACCCAGGGAAACUUGGGCUAAUACCGGAUACGCCCUUACGGGGAAAGAUUUAUCGCUGAAGGAUCGGCCCGCGUCUGAUUAGCUAGUUGGUGAGGUAAAGGCUCACCAAGGCGACGAUCAGUAGCUGGUCUGAGAGGAUGAUCAGCCACACUGGGACUGAGACACGGCCCAGACUCCUACGGGAGGCAGCAGUGGGGAAUAUUGGACAAUGGGCGCAAGCCUGAUCCAGCCAUGCCGCGUGAGUGAUGAAGGCCUUAGGGUUGUAAAGCUCUUUCGUCCGGACGAUAAUGACGGUACCGGAAGAAGAAGCCCGGCUAACUUCGU
This 449-nucleotide ribosomal RNA is filed under the name uncultured Alphaproteobacteria bacterium. RNAcentral describes it as "bacterial SSU rRNA". It matches the Rfam family "Bacterial small subunit ribosomal RNA", at positions 9 to 506 of the family's 1533-position model. Lineage: Bacteria; Pseudomonadati; Pseudomonadota; Alphaproteobacteria. The record is from RNAcentral.